GUGCACGCUGGCGGUAGGCCUAACACCUGCAAGUCGCACGGCAGCACAGUAAGAGCUUGCUCUUACGGGUGGCGAGUGGCGGACGGGUGAGGAAUACAUCGGAAUCUACUUUUUCGUGGGGGAUAACGUAGGGAAACUUACGCUAAUACCGCAUACGACCUACGGGUGAAAGCAGGGGAUCUUCGGACCUUGCGCGAUUGAAUGAGCCGAUGUCGGAUUAGCUAGUUGGCGGGGUAAAGGCCCACCAAGGCGACGAUCCGUAGCUGGUCUGAGAGGAUGAUCAGCCACACUGGAACUGAGACACGGUCCAGACUCCUACGGGAGGCAGCAGUGGGGAAUAUUGGACAAUGGGCGCAAGCCUGAUCCAGCCAUGCCGCGUGGGUGAAGAAGGCCUUCGGGUUGUAAAGCCCUUUUGUUGGGAAAGAAAAGCAGCAGGUUAAUACCCCGCUGUUCUGACGGUACCCAAAGAAUAAGCACCGGCUAACUUCGUG
Molecule: ribosomal RNA, 491 nt
Filed under: uncultured bacterium
Lineage: Bacteria
Description: partial 16S ribosomal RNA
Rfam family: Bacterial small subunit ribosomal RNA
Source: RNAcentral